UCAGGAUGAACGCUAGCGGCAGGCUUAACACAUGCAAGUCGAGGGGCAACGCGAGUAGCAAUACUUGGCGGCGACCGGCGCAAGGGUGCGUAACGCGUGAGCAACAUGCCCGUAUCAGGGGGAUAAUCCAGGGAAACUUGGUCUAAUACCCCAUAGUAAUUUUGUAAGGCAUCUUAUAAGAUUUAAAGCUUUGGUGGAUACGGAUUGGCUCGCGUGACAUUAGCUGGAUGGUAAGGUAACGGCUUACCAUGGCUAUGAUGUCUAGGGGUUCUGAGAGGAAGGUCCCCCACACUGGAACUGAGACACGGUCCAGACUCCUACGGGAGGCAGCAGUGAGGAAUAUUGGACAAUGGAUGGAAAUCUGAUCCAGCCAUGCCGCGUGAAGGAAGAAGGUCCUAUGGAUUGUAAACUUCUUUUGUAUGGGAGCAAUAAGGCCUACGAGUAGGUUGAUGAGAGUACCAUACGAAUAAGCACCGGCUAACUCCGUGCCAGCCGCAGC
RNAcentral lists this ribosomal RNA (499 nucleotides) under uncultured bacterium. RNAcentral describes it as "bacterial SSU rRNA". It matches the Rfam family "Bacterial small subunit ribosomal RNA", at positions 24 to 518 of the family's 1533-position model. The record is from RNAcentral.